CAAGCCAGGAAGGAGGAGGCAGCCAGAGUGUUCUCUGCAGCAGAAGACCCCUUGCUGCCCUGCUUAACCCAGACCAGCAUUUGCCAGGAAUGAAUGUGAAGCAUAAAUGAUACCUGCAUUUUAGCAGAAAAAUGGGCAGCAAGUCUAACAUAUAUAUCUUGUUUCAAUGAUCACAAGCAUAUUGCAGACAGAAGAAUUAUCCACUUGUUUCACAAAAAGCCUGAGGAAAGCCAGAAAAGUUCAAGUGCUCUUCUGUGGAAAAAGCAUCCCUUCAUAC
Molecule: long non-coding RNA, 277 nt
Organism: Hemicordylus capensis (graceful crag lizard)
Lineage: Eukaryota; Metazoa; Chordata; Lepidosauria; Squamata; Cordylidae
Exons: 3
Source: RefSeq, a predicted model, not a curated record